This 254-nucleotide ribosomal RNA is filed under the name uncultured prokaryote. Its description in RNAcentral is "partial 16S ribosomal RNA". It matches the Rfam family "Bacterial small subunit ribosomal RNA", at positions 525 to 777 of the family's 1533-position model. The record is from RNAcentral.
ACGUAGGGGGCGAGCGUUGUCCGAAGUUACUGGGCGUAAAGCGCGCGUAGGCGGUCAUUUAAGUUCGGGGUGAAAGGUUCAACGCUCAACGUGAACAGUGCCCUGGAUACUGGGUGACUUGAGUUCGGGAGGGGGCAGUGGAAUUCCGGGUGUAGCGGUGAAAUGCGUAGAUAUCCGGAGGAACACCGAUGGCGAAGGCAGCUGCCUGGCCUAGAACUGACGCUGAGGUGCGAAAGCGUGGGGAGCGAACGGGA